UCGUAACAAGGUCUCCGUUGGUGAACCAGCGGAGGGAUCAUUACUGAGUUUACGCUCUAUAACCCUUUGUGAACAUACCUAUAACUGUUGCUUCGGCGGGUAGGGUCUCCGUGACCCUCCCGGCCUCCCGCCCCCGGGCGGGUCGGCGCCCGCCGGAGGAUAACCAAACUCUGAUUUAACGACGUUUCUUCUGAGUGGUACAAGCAAAUAAUCAAAACUUUUAACAACGGAUCUCUUGGUUCUGGCAUCGAUGAAGAACGCAGCGAAAUGCGAUAAGUAAUGUGAAUUGCAGAAUUCAGUGAAUCAUCGAAUCUUUGAACGCACAUUGCGCCCGCCAGCAUUCUGGCGGGCAUGCCUGUUCGAGCGUCAUUUCAACCCUCAAGCUCUGCUUGGUGUUGGGGCCCUACAGCUGAUGUAGGCCCUCAAAGGUAGUGGCGGACCCUCCCGGAGCCUCCUUUGCGUAGUAACUUUACGUCUCGCACUGGGAUCCGGAGGGACUCUUGCCGUAAAACCCCCCAAUUUCCAAAGGUUGACCUCGGAUCAGGUAGGAAUACCCGCUGAACUUAAGCAUAUCAAUA
This 578-nucleotide ribosomal RNA is filed under the name Colletotrichum sp. MTCC 9660. Its description in RNAcentral is "eukaryotic LSU rRNA". The stretch from base 216 to 369 matches the Rfam family "5.8S ribosomal RNA". Lineage: Eukaryota; Fungi; Ascomycota; Sordariomycetes; Glomerellales; Glomerellaceae. The record is from RNAcentral.